RNAcentral lists this ribosomal RNA (947 nucleotides) under human oral metagenome. RNAcentral's name for it is "bacterial SSU rRNA". It matches the Rfam family "Bacterial small subunit ribosomal RNA", at positions 8 to 948 of the family's 1533-position model. The record is from RNAcentral.
AGAGUUUGAUCCUGGCUCAGGAUGAACGCUAGCUACAGGCUUAACACAUGCAAGUCGAGGGGCAGCAUGUUGGUUGCUUGCAACCAAUGAUGGCGACCGGCGCACGGGUGAGUAACGCGUAUCCAACCUACCCAAUACUCAGGCAUAACCCGUUGAAAGACGGACUAAUUCCUGAUGGUAUGUAUUUUUCUCAUGAAUUAUACAUUAAAGAAUUUCGGUAUUGGAUGGGGAUGCGUCUGAUUAGUUUGUUGGUGAGGUAACGGCUCACCAAGACUUCGAUCAGUAGGGGUUCUGAGAGGAAGGUCCCCCACAUUGGAACUGAGACACGGUCCAAACUCCUACGGGAGGCAGCAGUGAGGAAUAUUGGUCAAUGGAUGGAAAUCUGAACCAGCCAAGUAGCGUGCAGGAUGACGGCCCUAUGGGUUGUAAACUGCUUUUAUGUGAGAAUAAAGUUAGGUAUGUAUACUUAUUUGCAUGUAUCACAUGAAUAAGGACCGGCUAAUUCCGUGCCAGCAGCCGCGGUAAUACGGAAGGUCCAGGCGUUAUCCGGAUUUAUUGGGUUUAAAGGGUGCGUAGGCCGUUUGAUAAGCGUGCUGUGAAAUAUAGUGGCUCAACCUCUAUCGUGCAGCGCGAACUGUUGAACUUGAGUGCGUAGUAGGUAGGCGGAAUUCGUGGUGUAGCGGUGAAAUGCUUAGAUAUCACGAAGAACUCCGAUUGCGAAGGCAGCUUACCGUAACGUUACUGACGCUUAAGCACGAAGGUGCGGGUAUCGAACAGGAUUAGAUACCCUGGUAGUCCGCACAGUAAACGAUGGAUGCUCGCUGUUGGCCUUUAAUGGUCAGUGGCUUAGCGAAAGCGUUAAGCAUCCCACCUGGGGAGUACGCCGGCAACGGUGAAACUCAAAGGAAUUGACGGGGGCCCGCACAAGCGGAGGAACAUGUGGUUUA